RNAcentral lists this ribosomal RNA (254 nucleotides) under uncultured bacterium. Its description in RNAcentral is "partial 16S ribosomal RNA". It matches the Rfam family "Bacterial small subunit ribosomal RNA", at positions 524 to 776 of the family's 1533-position model. The record is from RNAcentral.
UACGUAGGGUGCGAGCGUUUAAUCGGAAUUACUGGGCGUAAAGCGUGCGCAGGCGGUUCGUUGUGUCGGUGGUGAAAGCCCCGGGCUUAACCUGGGAAUGGCCAUGGAAACUGGCGAACUGGAGUGUGGCAGAGGGGGGUGGAAUUCCGCGUGUAGCAGUGAAAUGCGUAGAGAUGCGGAGGAACACCGAUGGCGAAGGCAGCCCCCUGGGCUGACACUGACGCUGAGGCACGAAAGCGUGGGGAGCAAACAGG